Molecule: ribosomal RNA, 468 nt
Filed under: uncultured bacterium
Lineage: Bacteria
Description: partial 16S ribosomal RNA
Rfam family: Bacterial small subunit ribosomal RNA
Source: RNAcentral
GACGAACGCUGGCGGCGUGCUUAACACAUGCAAGUCGAACGGAAAGGCCCUGCUUUUGUGGGGUGCUCGAGUGGCGAACGGGUGAGUAACACGUGAGUAACCUGCCCUUGACUUUGGGAUAACUUCAGGAAACUGGGGCUAAUACCGGAUAGGAGCUCCUGCUGCAUGGUGGGGGUUGGAAAGUUUCGGCGGUUGGGGAUGGACUCGCGGCUUAUCAGCUUGUUGGUGGGGUAGUGGCUUACCAAGGCUUUGACGGAUAGCCGGCCUGAGAGGGUGACCGGCCACAUGGGGACUGAGAUACGGCCCAGACUCCUACGGGAGGCAGCAGUGGGGAAUAUUGCACAAUGGGCGGAAGCCUGAUGCAGCAACGCCGCGUGCGGGAUGACGGCCUUCGGGUUGUAAACCGCUUUCGCCUGUGACGAAGCGUGAGUGACGGUAAUGGGUAAAGAAGCACCGGCUAACUACGUG